CUUCUUUAACACCGGUUGAUCCUGCCGGUGGGCACUGCUAUCCGGCUCCGGCUAAGGCAUGGGAGUCGCGGGCGCGGGGGCAUGGCCGCGCCCGGCGCACGGCUCAGUAACACACGGGUAACCUACCCUCGGGACGGGGAUAACCCCUGGGAAACUGGGGAUAAUCCCCGAUAGGGGCCGAGGCCUGGAAUGGUCCGGCCCCGAAAGGGACACGGCGCCAUCCCCGCCGUGUCCGCCCGAGGAUGGGCCCGUGGCCGAUUAGGUAGCUGGUGGGGUAACGGCCCACCAGGCCGAAGAUCGGUACGGGCGGUGAGAGCCGGAGCCCGGAGAUCGGCCCUGAGACAAGGGCCGAGGGCCUACGGGCCGCACCAGCCGCGAAACCUCCGCAAUGCGGGCAACCGUGACGGGGGGAGCCGGAGUGCCGCGUGGCUAUAGGCCACGCGGCUUUUCCCGACCGUAAACAGGUCGGGGAAUAAGGGCCGGGCAAGGCCGGUGUCAGCCGCCGCGGUAAUACCGGCGGCCCGAGUGGUGCCCGUGAUUAUUGGGCCUAAAGGGUCCGUAGCCGGCCCGGUGUGGCCCCGGUGAAAUCCUCGGGCUUAACCCGAGGAUAGCCGGGGCUACUGCCGGGCUAGGGGCCGGGAGACGCCGGCGGUACUCCCAGGGUAGGGGUGAAAUCCAAAAAUCCUGGGAGGACCACCUGUGGGGAAACCGGCCGGCGAGAACGGGCCCGACGGUGAGGGACGAAGGCUGGGGGAGCGAGCCGGAUUAGAGACCCGGGUAGUCCCAGCUGUCAACGCUGCGGGCUAGCUGCCGGGAGGCCCUGAGGCCUCUCGGUGGCGCAGGGAAGCCGUUAAGCCCGCCGCCUGGGGAGUACGGCCGCAAGGCUGAAACUUAAAGGAAUUGGCGGGGGGGUACACCAGGGGAGUGGUCUGCGGUUUAAUUGGAGUCGACACCGGGAACCUUACCGGGGGCGACAGCUGGAUGAUGGCCAGGCUGACGACCUUGCCGGACUCGCUGAGAGGUGGUGCAUGGCCAUCGUCAGCUCGUACCGUGAGGCGUCCAGUUAAGUCUGGCAACGAGCGAGACCCGCGCCCGCAGUUGCCAGGGGUUCCGGGCCUACCGGAACUCCCGGCACACUGCGGGGACUGCCGGCGAGAAGCCGGAGGAAGGUGCGGGCGACGAUAGGUCAGUAUGCCCCGAAUCCCCCGGGCUACACGCGGGCCACAAGGGCCGGGACAGAGGGUGCCGACCCCGAAAGGGGAAGGCAAUCCCCUAAACCCGGCCCCAGUUCGGAUCGCGGGCUGCAACUCGCCCGCGUGAAGGCGAAUUCCCUAGUAACCGCAGGUUAGCAGCCUGCGGUGAAUACGUCCCUGUCCCUUGCACACACCGCCCGUCGCGCCACCCGAGUCGGGCUUGGGUGAGUCCCGGGCCCGGAAGGGCCCGGGACGAACCUGGGCCCGACGAGGGGGGCGAAGUCGACACAAGGUAGCCGUAGGGGAACCUGCGGCUGGAUCACCUCCUU
This 1522-nucleotide ribosomal RNA is filed under the name bacterium. Its description in RNAcentral is "bacterial SSU rRNA". It matches the Rfam family "Archaeal small subunit ribosomal RNA". The record is from RNAcentral.